CACGGAGUUAGCCGGUGCUUAUUCGUACAGUACCUUCAGCUAGAUACACGUAUCUAGGUUUAUCCCUGUACAAAAGAAGUUUACAACCCAUAGGGCAGUCGUCCUUCACGCGGGAUGGCUGGAUCAGGCUCUCACCCAUUGUCCAAUAUUCCUCACUGCUGCCUCCCGUAGGAGUCUGGUCCGUGUCUCAGUACCAGUGUGGGGGAUCACCCUCUCAGGCCCCCUAAAGAUCACUGACUUGGUGAGCCGUUACCUCACCAACUAUCUAAUCUUGCGCGUGCCCAUCUCUAUCCACCGGAGUUUUCAAUAAAAAACGAUGCCGUUCAUUAUAUUAUGGGGUAUUAAUCUUCCUUUCGAAAGGCUAUCCCCUGAUAAAGGCAGGUUGCACACGUGUUCCGCACCCGUACGCCGCUCUCAAGUCCCCGAAGAGACUCUACCGCUCGGCUUGCAUGUGUUAGGCCUCCGCUAGCGUUCAUCCUGAGCCAGGAUCAAACUCU
Molecule: ribosomal RNA, 497 nt
Filed under: uncultured Chryseobacterium sp.
Lineage: Bacteria; Pseudomonadati; Bacteroidota; Flavobacteriia; Flavobacteriales; Weeksellaceae
Description: partial 16S ribosomal RNA
Source: RNAcentral